UACGUAGGGGGCAAGCGUUGUCCGGAAUCAUUGGGCGUAAAGCGCGUGUAGGCGGCUCGAUAAGUCUGCUGUGAAAGUCCAGGGCUCAACCCUGGGAUGCCGGUAGAUACUGUCGAGCUCGAGUCCGGAAGAGGCGAGUGGAAUUCCUGGUGUAGCGGUGAAAUGCGCAGAUAUCAGGAGGAACACCAAUGGCGAAGGCAGCUCGCUGGGACGUGACUGACGCUGAGACGCGAAAGCGUGGGGAGCAAACAGG
Molecule: ribosomal RNA, 253 nt
Filed under: uncultured bacterium
Lineage: Bacteria
Description: partial 16S ribosomal RNA
Rfam family: Bacterial small subunit ribosomal RNA
Source: RNAcentral